AAGUCGAGCGGACAGAUGGGAGCUUGCUCCCUGAUGUUAGCGGCGGACGGGUGAGUAACACGUGGGUAACCUGCCUGUAAGACUGGGAUAACUCCGGGAAACCGGGGCUAAUACCGGAUGGUUGUUUGAACCGCAUGGUUCAGACAUAAAAGGUGGCUUCGGCUACCACUUACAGAUGGACCCGCGGCGCAUUAGCUAGUUGGUGAGGUAACGGCUCACCAAGGCGACGAUGCGUAGCCGACCUGAGAGGGUGAUCGGCCACACUGGGACUGAGACACGGCCCAGACUCCUACGGGAGGCAGCAGUAGGGAAUCUUCCGCAAUGGACGAAAGUCUGACGGAGCAACGCCGCGUGAGUGAUGAAGGUUUUCGGAUCGUAAAGCUCUGUUGUUAGGGAAGAACAAGUGCCGUUCAAAUAGGGCGGCACCUUGACGGUACCUAACCAGAAAGCCACGGCUAACUACGUGCCAGCAGCCGCGGUAAUACGUAGGUGGCAAGCGUUGUCCGGAAUUAUUGGGCGUAAAGGGCUCGCAGGCGGUUUCUUAAGUCUGAUGUGAAAGCCCCCGGCUCAACCGGGGAGGGUCAUUGGAAACUGGGGAACUUGAGUGCAGAAGAGGAGAGUGGAAUUCCACGUGUAGCGGUGAAAUGCGUAGAGAUGUGGAGGAACACCAGUGGCGAAGGCGACUCUCUGGUCUGUAACUGACGCUGAGGAGCGAAAGCGUGGGGAGCGAACAGGAUUAGAUACCCUGGUAGUCCACGCCGUAAACGAUGAGUGCUAAGUGUUUAGGGGGUUUCCGCCCCUUAGUGCUGCAGCUAACGCAUUAAGCACUCCGCCUGGGGAGUACGGUCGCAAGACUGAAACUCAAAGGAAUUGACGGGGGCCCGCACAAGCGGUGGAGCAUGUGGUUUAAUUCGAAGCAACGCGAAGAACCUUACCAGGUCUUGACAUCCUCUGACAAUCCUAGAGAUAGGACGUCCCCUUCGGGGGCAGAGUGACAGGUGGUGCAUGGUUGUCGUCAGCUCGUGUCGUGAGAUGUUGGGUUAAGUCCCGCAACGAGCGCAACCCUUGAUCUUAGUUGCCAGCAUUCAGUUGGGCACUCUAAGGUGACUGCCGGUGACAAACCGGAAGAAAGGUGGGGAUGACGUCAAAUCAUCAUGCCCCUUAUGACCUGGGCUACACACGUGCUACAAUGGACAGAACAAAGGGCAGCGAAACCGAGGUUAACCAAUCCAAAUCUGUUCUCAGUUCGGAUCGCAGUGAACUCCACUGCUGAAACUGGAAUC
This 1283-nucleotide ribosomal RNA is filed under the name Bacillus sp. (in: firmicutes). RNAcentral's name for it is "bacterial SSU rRNA". It matches the Rfam family "Bacterial small subunit ribosomal RNA", at positions 59 to 1333 of the family's 1533-position model. The record is from RNAcentral. Lineage: Bacteria; Bacillati; Bacillota; Bacilli; Caryophanales; Bacillaceae.